CUUUGCCUUCUAGGGAGCAGGGACCAAGGACAAAGUGUGAAGUUGAAAGUGUGCUUUUAUGUGGGGAUGAAUCUUUAUGAAAGUAUCUCUUACAUUUUAAGAGACUGGAAGUUCCUGGACCACCCAGCCAGAAUUAAUGAACCAUGAGUUCAUUUAAGAUGUAAGACUGCCUUCCAACUGUGCACUCAGCCACUUUGUUCAACCUGCUUUUAAUACAGUCAUGUAACAAUCAACCUUACUUGUCUUGGACUGGACUCACCGUGUAAUCAGCUUUUGAAACCUAAGCUCUUCCCUCCCAAUAUCAAGUGCUCGCUAAGAAGGAAGGAAGGAAGGAAGGAAGGAAGGAAGGAAGGAAGGAAGGAAGGAAGGAAGGAAGGAAGGAAGGAAGGAAGGAAAACAGUCUGCAUAUUGAUGUUCAGUGCCUGGGCAUCCAUGAAAGCAAGGGUAGCCUCUCUCUCUCACACAAAGAUUGGAUCCUGGAACCUGACACUUCCUCUAACAGAAGUCAGAAAUGAGCAACAACUCUUCAGCUGGAAGUGGGACUUCCUGAUGACCUCUACUCUGCUUGAGUUAUGCCUUCCUGAGCAGGAUUUGUGUGUUCGGUUGUAACAAGUGAACUCACAAGUGCAAGUGCCCUGUUCUUUCUGAACAAAUCCUGUUUUCUUGGAAUCAUCUACCACCUCUAGUUCUUACACACUUUCGACCUCUUCUUCGAUGAUGACCCCUAAGUCUUGAGAGGAAGAGCUGUGAUAUAGAUGUCCCAAUUUUUCUGGGCCCUCCAGAGUCUCUUAUUUUCAGCAACUUGAAUGAUUGUGGGAUUCUGUGUUAAUCACCAUAGACUGCAAAAAAGAAGUUGCUCUGAUGAGGGUUGAGGGAUAGACUAAUCCCCGGUAUAAAAAGUAAGUGUUUAUUGGGCAGUUCAUUACUAUGUCCUUUUAGCUGAGUAAUAGUAUGAAGAAGUAUAUUCUUCUCCAGGGUCUAUAUGAAGCCCAUAUUAUUGAUCCUAAUAAUUAUACCAGAAAAUGUU
Peromyscus maniculatus bairdii (prairie deer mouse) is the source of this 1027-nucleotide long non-coding RNA. RefSeq lists it as uncharacterized. Lineage: Eukaryota; Metazoa; Chordata; Mammalia; Rodentia; Cricetidae. The record is from RefSeq and is a predicted model, not a curated record.